UGCAGUGCUCACAAACUUAGAGUGAAGCUCAGCUGUCUGGGGAGACUAGAAGACCAGCUGGGUUCUCACUGGGCUGUGGCUCCUGGAGGAAUGGACAAGAUCCUGGGAGCAUCACUUUUAAUCCUAGGCCUUCACCUCACCUGGGUGAGUGGCCAGCAGAAGGGAAAAAGUGACCAGCAGCAAGUGAAGCAAAGUCCUCAAUCUCUGACUGUCCAGGAAGGAGGGAUUUUAGAGCUGAACUGUUUGUAUGAAAACAGUGUAUUUGACUACUUUGGAUGGUAUCAGCAAUUGCCUGGUAAAGGCCCAGCAUUAUUGGUAGCCAUCAGUUCAAUUAGAAUAAAAGAAGAAUUUGGACGAUUCACAGUUUUCUUCAACAAAAGUGCUAAACAUAUCUCCUUGCACAUCAAGGACUCUCAACCUGGAGAUUCAGCCACCUACUUCUGUGCAGCAAGAGCACAGUGCUCUCCAGGCACCUGCAGCCUGAACUCAAACCUGCAUCUGAGGCCCCAGCCAAGCCUGCUGCAGGCCUUAGACUGACAGAAACACAGACUGGCUUUCACUUGCACAGAUAGGUGAUGAAGUAAAUGUAUGGAUUCACUAGUGCAGGUGCAUGAAAGGGUAGUUGUUAAAGUAAAUUUAAAAAACUCAAUUUAAUGAGUAACCAACCUGCAGAAAUUUUUUCACAAUAAAGUAUUUGGGGUUGUCAUCACUAUUUAAUCAGUUCUAGGUCAAGUGGCUCUUUAUACAUUGCUGGUAGAAUGCAUUUGGUCUGACU
This is a non-coding RNA of Marmota monax (woodchuck), 775 nucleotides long. The record is from the annotation of a RefSeq genome assembly. NCBI's taxonomy places the organism in Eukaryota, Metazoa, Chordata, Mammalia, Rodentia, Sciuridae.